RNAcentral lists this ribosomal RNA (474 nucleotides) under uncultured organism. RNAcentral describes it as "partial 16S ribosomal RNA". It matches the Rfam family "Bacterial small subunit ribosomal RNA", at positions 331 to 797 of the family's 1533-position model. The record is from RNAcentral.
GUACACUCCUACGGGAGGCAGCAGUGGGGAAUAUUGCACAAUGGGCGCAAGCCUGAUGCAGCCAUGCCGCGUGUAUGAAGAAGGCCUUCGGGUUGUAAAGUACUUUCAGCGGGGAGGAAGGCGAUAAGGAUAAUAACCUUGUCGAUUGACGUUACCCGCAGAAGAAGCACCGGCUAACUCCGUGCCAGCAGCCGCGGUAAUACGGAGGGUGCAAGCGUUAAUCGGAAUUACUGGGCGUAAAGCGCACGCAGGCGGUCUGUCAAGUCGGAUGUGAAAUCCCCGGGCUCAACCUGGGAACUGCAUUCGAAACUGGCAGGCUAGAGUCUUGUAGAGGGGGGUAGAAUUCCAGGUGUAGCGGUGAAAUGCGUAGAGAUCUGGAGGAAUACCGGUGGCGAAGGCGGCCCCCUGGACAAAGACUGACGCUCAGGUGCGAAAGCGUGGGGAGCAAACAGGAUUAGAAACCCUAGUAGUCCC